AGGGGCGUAGCUCAACUGGCAGAGCACCGGUCUCCAAAACCGAAGGUUGUGGGUUCGAGUCCCUCCGCCCCUG
RNAcentral lists this transfer RNA (73 nucleotides) under Gemmatimonadota bacterium. RNAcentral's name for it is "tRNA-Trp". It matches the Rfam family "tRNA". Rfam says of the family: Transfer RNA (tRNA) molecules are approximately 80 nucleotides in length. Their secondary structure includes four short double-helical elements and three loops (D, anti-codon, and T loops). RNAcentral also lists the same sequence under 1 other name. The record is from RNAcentral. Lineage: Bacteria; Pseudomonadati; Gemmatimonadota.